AUUGAACGCUGGCGGCAUGCCUUACACAUGCAAGUCGAACGGUAACAGGUCUUCGGCCGCUGACGAGUGGCGAACGGGUGAGUAAUGCAUCGGAACGUGCCCAGUCGUGGGGGAUAACUGCUCGAAAGAGCAGCUAAUACCGCAUACGACCUGAGGGUGAAAGCGGGGGACCGUAAGGCCUCGCGCGAUUGGAGCGGCCGAUGUCAGAUUAGCUAGUUGGUGGGGUAAAGGCCUACCAAGGCAACGAUCUGUAGUUGGUCUGAGAGGACGACCAGCCACACUGGGACUGAGACACGGCCCAGACUCCUACGGGAGGCAGCAGUGGGGAAUUUUGGACAAUGGGCGCAAGCCUGAUCCAGCAAUGCCGCGUGCAGGAAGAAGGCCUUCGGGUUGUAAACUGCUUUUGUCAGGGAAGAAAUCUUCUGGGCUAAUACCCCGGGAGGAUGACGGUACCUGAAGAAUAAGCACCGGCUAACUACGUG
This 482-nucleotide ribosomal RNA is filed under the name uncultured bacterium. RNAcentral describes it as "partial 16S ribosomal RNA". It matches the Rfam family "Bacterial small subunit ribosomal RNA", at positions 30 to 507 of the family's 1533-position model. The record is from RNAcentral.